This 207-nucleotide ribosomal RNA is filed under the name uncultured bacterium. RNAcentral describes it as "partial 16S ribosomal RNA". It matches the Rfam family "Bacterial small subunit ribosomal RNA", at positions 568 to 774 of the family's 1533-position model. The record is from RNAcentral.
CGCGUAGGCGGCCUUGUAAGUCUCGUGUGAAAGCCCUCGGCUUAACUGAGGAUCUGCACGGGAUACUGCGAGGCUUGAGUUCGGGAGAGGAAAGCGGAAUUCCGGGUGUAGCGGUGAAAUGCGUAGAUAUCCGGAGGAACACCAGUGGCGAAGGCGGCUUUCUGGACCGACACUGACGCUGAUGCGCGAAAGCUAGGGGAGCAAACG